GUAUAAGAGACAGCAGCAGCCACGGGAAUACGAAGGGGGCUAGCGUUGUUCGGAAUUACUGGGCGUAAAGCGCACGUAGGCGGAUAUUUAAGUCAGGGGUGAAAUCCCAGAGCUCAACUCUGGAACUGCCUUUGAUACUGGGUAUCUUGAGUAUGGAAGAGGUGAGUGGAAUUCCGAGUGUAGAGGUGAAAUUCGUAGAUAUUCGGAGGAACACCAGUGGCGAAGGCGGCUCACUGGUCCAUUACUGACGCUGAGGUGCGAAAGCGUGGGGAGCAAACAGGAUUAGAUACCCCAGUAGUCCCUGUCUCUUAUAC
Molecule: ribosomal RNA, 314 nt
Filed under: uncultured bacterium
Lineage: Bacteria
Description: partial 16S ribosomal RNA
Rfam family: Bacterial small subunit ribosomal RNA
Source: RNAcentral